Molecule: ribosomal RNA, 301 nt
Filed under: uncultured bacterium
Lineage: Bacteria
Description: partial 16S ribosomal RNA
Rfam family: Bacterial small subunit ribosomal RNA
Source: RNAcentral
CAGCAGCCGCGGUAAUACAGAGGGUGCAAGCGUUAAUCGGAAUUACUGGGCGUAAAGCGCGCGUAGGUGGUUUGUUAAGUUGGAUGUGAAAUCCCCGGGCUCAACCUGGGAACUGCAUCCAAAACUGGCAAGCUAGAGUAUGGUAGAGGGUGGUGGAAUUUCCUGUGUAGCGGUGAAAUGCGUAGAUAUAGGAAGGAACACCAGUGGCGAAGGCGACCACCUGGACUGAUACUGACACUGAGGUGCGAAAGCGUGGGGAGCAAACAGGAUUAGAGACCCCGGUAGUCCCUGUCUCUUAUAC